AUGGAUGGCGUCGCGGGCCGCCUCCCUCCUGCCCGCGGCGUCGGGUCCCGGCCGGCUCUUGCUCCGGCGCCCCGCCCCGCGCCCUUGUGGCCCGUCGGCGACUCCUCCUCCCCUCCCCACCUGCGGCCCGUGGGAUCUGGUGGGCACGGUCGUGCUGGCGGAGGAUCUGGGCAUCCCGGCCCAAAUCCGGUGGAUGUGCGGGUCAUCGAUGGCGGGGGUGGCCGGCGACCCCGUGGAGGUGGUGGUGUGGCGGCCGGUGUCCGUGCUGCUCCGGUGCUGGGUGGCUGGGCGUCGGGUGGUGCUGACCAGGGCGUGGAGGCGCAGGUGAUGUGGUGCUGGCAGGUUGACUGCGGCGGCGGCCAGACUGUUCUGGCGUCGGCUCGUUUGUAG
This 390-nucleotide ribosomal RNA is filed under the name Triticum aestivum (bread wheat). RNAcentral's name for it is "partial small subunit ribosomal RNA". The record is from RNAcentral. Lineage: Eukaryota; Viridiplantae; Streptophyta; Magnoliopsida; Poales; Poaceae.